RNAcentral lists this long non-coding RNA (1231 nucleotides) under Macaca fascicularis (crab-eating macaque). RNAcentral's name for it is "lncRNA (ENSMFAG00000049337.1)". The record is from RNAcentral. Lineage: Eukaryota; Metazoa; Chordata; Mammalia; Primates; Cercopithecidae.
CAUAUCUGUUUAAUCCUGGUAAGAGAGCAGAGACAAUGGAAUUGUACAGGAUGCUAGAUUAAACUUAGAGAAGGCAGAAAAGUGGAAGACAAGAACAAAAGAAGAGCAAUUAAUAGAAAACAUUAACAGAUAUAGUAAUUUAUAUCAAUCAGUUUAAAUGUGAGUUGUCUAAAUACACAAAUACACAGAUACUGUCACAGAAGAUUAAAAAACAAGACUAAACAAGAAAUCCACUUUAAAUACAAAGAUGGAGAAAGAUACAUCCUGUGUUAAUGGACUGAAUGUUCGUGUUCCCCCUGUUCCCCAAAUUUGUAUGUUGAAGCCCUAACCCCCAGUGUGAUAGUAUUUGCAGAUAGGGAUCUUGGAAGAUAAUUAAGGUUAGGUGGCACCAUGACUAACAUAAGGUUAGUGUCCUUAUAAGAAGGGACACAGAGAGCUUGCUCUCUUUGCCAUGUGAAGAUACGACUAGAAGGUAGCUGUCUACAAAUGAGAAAGCCUUCCCCAGAAAUUGUGAUGACACCCUGAUCCCAGACUUCCAGUCUUCAGAAAUUUGAGAAAAAGAAAAUUUAUGUUGUUUAAGUCACCUAGUGUAUGGUAUUUUGUUAGGGUAGCCUAGAUAGACUAACAUAUCAAACUACACUCAUGAAAAGAAAGCUGGAGUAGCUAUAUUAAUUUCAUACAAAGCUGACUUCAGAACAAGGAAAAUGAUCAAGCAACAUAUGGUGAUAAAGGGGUAAUUAACUUUUAAUAAAAGACACCAUAGAAUGUAUGUCUUUAACUACAAAGGAAUUAAAUUAGAAAAUACCUGGAAAAUCCCAAAAUACUUGUAGAUUAAGGAGCACACUUUUAAACACAUAGGUCAAAGAAGUCUCAAGAGAAAAUAUAUUUUGAAAUAAAUGAAAAUACAAAUUAUCAAAAUUUCUGAGAUGCGACUGGGCGCGGUGGAUCAUGCCUGUAAUCCCAGCACUUUGGGAGGCCGAGGUGGGUGGAUCAUGAGGUCAGGAGAUUGAGACCAUCCUGGCUAACACGAUGAAACUUCAUGUCUACUAAAAAUACAAAAAAUUAGCUGGGCAUGGUGGCGGGCACCUGUAGUCCCAGCUACUUGGGAGGCAGAGGCAGGAGAAUGGCAUGAACCUGGGAUGCGGAGCAUCCAGUGAGCGGAGAUGGCACCACUGCACUCCAGCUUGGGGAACAGAGCGAGACUUUGUCUCAAAAAAAAAAAAAAAAAAAA